Zonotrichia leucophrys gambelii is the source of this 65-nucleotide small nucleolar RNA. RefSeq annotates it as small nucleolar RNA SNORD5. NCBI's taxonomy places the organism in Eukaryota, Metazoa, Chordata, Aves, Passeriformes, Passerellidae. The record is from RefSeq and is a predicted model, not a curated record. The transcript has a single exon.
GUUCAUGUGAUUAAUUCAGCUGUUCAACUGUUGAGUGACUCAGAAAUGAACUAAUUCUGAUUAGA